UCCGGUUGAUCCUGCCAGAGGUCACUGCUAUCGGUGUUCGUCUAAGCCAUGCGAGUCAUAUGUUCUUCGUGAACAUGGCAUAUUGCUCAGUAACACGUGGAUAACCUGCCCUUGGGACCGGCAUAACCCCGGGAAACUGGGGAUAAUAUCGGAUACUCCGUAUCUGCUGGAAUGCUUUACGUUUUAAACGGUUUUUUCCGCCCAAGGAUGGGUCUGCGGCCUAUCAGGUAGUAGCGGGUGUAAUGUACCUGCUAGCCUACGACGGGUACGGGUUGUGAGAGCAAGAGCCCGGAGAUGGAUUCUGAGACAAUAAUCCAUGCCCUACGGGGCGCAGCAGGCGCGAAAUCUUUACAAUGCGGGUCACCGUGAUAAGGGGACACCGAGUGCUAGCAAGAAUUGCUGGCUGUCCAGGUGCUUAACUUGCACCUGUUAGCAAGGGCCGGGCAAGACCGGUGCCAGCCGCCGCGGUAACACCGGCGGCCCGAGUGGUGAUCGUUAUUAUUGGGGUCUAAAGGGUCCGUAGCCUGGUUGGUCAGUCUUCCGGGAAAUC
This 550-nucleotide ribosomal RNA is filed under the name unidentified archaeon. RNAcentral's name for it is "bacterial SSU rRNA". It matches the Rfam family "Archaeal small subunit ribosomal RNA", at positions 1 to 551 of the family's 1478-position model. The record is from RNAcentral.